ACCGAAACGACAAAAGGCAGCUCAAAUCAAACUUAAUGAACUUUCGAACUUUAGACUUACAAAAACUCAUGCAGAAACAUAUCAAAUCAACUUGGAAUGACACACUAGUCAUAAUACAUCAUACAGAGCUACUAGUUCCCUCAAACUACCAAGCAAAGUGUAAAUGCUCAAAACCAUUGGUCGGGUCGUUACAAGCCUGAUAUCAGUUGUAUCUGUUGCAGCUAAUGCACUACCGGCACCUUCCAUAGGUUCACUCUCCAGAAUACCACUCGGUGACAUCAAAGUCCCACUCAUUCUCUGACUUUCUUCCUAUAUGAGCAUAGAAUACGCUUAAUCAAGUAUGGGAGUGGGGUUUAUCAUCAAAAUCUGACACCUUUGAGGUGCAUAGGUAUCAUUUAGUCCCAUCAAAAAUUUCAUUAGCUUCUAUUGGCGUACGAACUCAAUAAAUAUCCUAGAUAUCGCACAAUCACAACGAGGAUAGGGUAUAAUUGACUCAAAUUAGCCCACAAAUCAUUCAAUUUCGAGUAAUAUAUCGAUACACUGGAGAUUCCCGUUAGACUACUUAUUUUUGUGUUCAUAUGACAAAUUUUUGUUGCAUUUACCUUAUUAAUACAUUCCUUGAAGGCUUCCCAUACCAUAUGUGUGUUUGAUGAAUACACUAUUCCUUUCCUCAUCAUGUGCUAUAGAGCUCAUUAUCCACGACUGGACAAUGGCAUUGCAUCUCUCCCACUGAUGCAAUUGAAAGCUAUAUGCUUCGUAGUCUCUCUAACACACAAUCCAUCUAUAAAUCCGAUUUUAUUCUUUACGAGCAGAGACAUCUUCAUUGAUCAACUCCAUUCCGAGUAGUUCUAUGUUCCUAUAAGCAAUUGUGGCACCAAUGCCACUCCUGGCGUAUCUGAUGGAUGCACAUAGAGUGGAUCGUUACAAUCAAGUUGUUGAGAGUUUGCAUGUGAGGUCCCAACUACGUUUUGAGGUGUAUUGACUGACAUUUUGGAUUUUAGUGAAGGGUUUGGUAUGGAAUUUAGCAGAGACGAGAGUUAACUAAUAAAUUAGGGAAAAUUGAAUCUGAGAAGAGGAGAAAUCAGAUCUGAGCAUCUAGCGACUAUCAAUAUCGAUCGUUGUGAGCCUAGCUCUAAUACCAUGAUAACAUUCAUUGCUGCCAUUGAAGCUCGUCUGUAGAAAGAGUAAGAAAGGGAAGCUAAGAGGGAGAAGAAGAGUAGUUAAGCAGAGACAGUUCUUUAGGGAAAUUUUUGUUCUAUUUC
RNAcentral lists this long non-coding RNA (1262 nucleotides) under Nicotiana benthamiana. Its description in RNAcentral is "long non-coding RNA (NBEN_LNC023985)". Lineage: Eukaryota; Viridiplantae; Streptophyta; Magnoliopsida; Solanales; Solanaceae. The record is from RNAcentral.